AUCUUAUUCGUAACCCAUAUCUC
Molecule: small nuclear RNA, 23 nt
Filed under: Arabidopsis thaliana (thale cress)
Lineage: Eukaryota; Viridiplantae; Streptophyta; Magnoliopsida; Brassicales; Brassicaceae
Description: snRNA_16834
Source: RNAcentral